UGGAUGUUAAUACCAUCCACUACUGACGGUAUCUUGAGAAGAAGCACCGGCUAACUACGUGCCAGCAGCCGCGGUAAUACGUAGGGUGCAAGCGUUAAUCGGAAUUACUGGGCGUAAAGCGUGCGCAGGCGGUUUGAGAAGUCAGAUGUGAAAUCCCCGGGCUUAACCUGGGAAUGGCGUUUGAAACUCUCAAGCUAGAGUUUGGCAGAGGGGGGUAGAAUUCCACGUGUAGCAGUGAAAUGCGUAGAUAUGUGGAGGAAUACCGAUGGCGAAGGCAGCCCCCUGGGCCGAAACUGACGCUCAUGCACGAAAGCGUGGGGAGCAAACAGGAUUAGAUACCCUGGUAGCCCACGCCCUAAACGAUGUCAACUGGUUGUUGGGAGAGUGAAAUCUCUUAGUAACGAAGCUAACGCGUGAAGUUGACCGCCUGGGGAGUACGGUCGCAAGAUUAAAACUCAAAGGAAUUGACGGA
Molecule: ribosomal RNA, 472 nt
Filed under: uncultured bacterium
Lineage: Bacteria
Description: bacterial SSU rRNA
Rfam family: Bacterial small subunit ribosomal RNA
Source: RNAcentral